RNAcentral lists this ribosomal RNA (264 nucleotides) under uncultured archaeon. RNAcentral's name for it is "partial 16S ribosomal RNA". It matches the Rfam family "Archaeal small subunit ribosomal RNA", at positions 717 to 982 of the family's 1478-position model. The record is from RNAcentral.
AGACGUCUACAUUAGAUACCCGGGUAGUCCCAGUCGUAAACUAUGCGCGUUAGGUGUAUCGGUGACCACGAGUCACCGAGGUGCCGAAGGGAAACCGUGAAACGUGCCGCCUGGGAAGUACGGUCGCAAGGCUGAAACUUAAAGGAAUUGGCGGGGAGCACCACAACGGGUGGAGCCUGCGGUUUAAUUGGACUCAACGCCGGGAAGCUCACCGGAUAAGACAGCGGAAUGAUUGCCGGGCUGAAGACUCUGCAUGACUAGCUG